GACGAACGCUGGUGGCGUGCUUAACACAUGCAAGUCGAACGAAGAGCGAUGGAAGCUUGCUUCUAUCAAUCUUAGUGGCGAACGGGUGAGUAACGUGUAAUCAACCUGCCCUUCAGAGGGGGACAACAGUUGGAAACGACUGCUAAUACCGCAUACGAUCUAAUCUCGGCAUCGAGGAUGGAUGAAAGGUGGCCUCUAUGUAUAAGCUAUCACUGAAGGAGGGGAUUGCGUCUGAUUAGCUAGUUGGAGGGGUAACGGCCCACCAAGGCGAUGAUCAGUAGCCGGUCUGAGAGGAUGAACGGCCACAUUGGGACUGAGACACGGCCCAGACUCCUACGGGAGGCAGCAGUGGGGAAUCUUCCGCAAUGGACGAAAGUCUGACGGAGCAACGCCGCGUGAGUGAUGACGGCCUUUCGGGUUGUAAAGCUCUGUUAAUCGGGACGGAAGGCC
This 450-nucleotide ribosomal RNA is filed under the name Veillonella dispar. RNAcentral describes it as "bacterial SSU rRNA". It matches the Rfam family "Bacterial small subunit ribosomal RNA", at positions 28 to 454 of the family's 1533-position model. Lineage: Bacteria; Bacillati; Bacillota; Negativicutes; Veillonellales; Veillonellaceae. The record is from RNAcentral.